AUACGUAGGGGGCAAGCGUUGUCCGGAAUUAUUGGGCGUAAAGGGCACGCAGGCGGUUCCUUAAGUCUGAUGUGAAAGCCCGUGGCUCAACCACGGAGGGUCAUUGGAAACUGGGGAACUUGAGAACUGAAGAGGAGAGUGGAAUUCCACGUGUAGCGGUGAAAUGCGUAGAUAUGUGGAGGAACACCAGUGGCGAAGGCGACUCUCUGGUCGGUUUCUGACGCUGAGGUGCGAAAGCGUGGGUAGCAAACAGGAUUAGAUACCCUGGUAGUCCACGCCGUAAACGAUGAGUGCUAGGUGUUAGGGGGCUUCCACCCCUUAGUGCUGAAGUUAACGCAUUAAGCACUCCGCCUGGGGAGUACGGCCGCAAGGCUGAAACUCAAAGGAAUUGACGGGGCCCGCACAAGCGGUGGAGCAUGUGGUUUAAUUCGAAGCAACGCGAAGAACCUUACCAGGUCUUGACAUCCUUGGACACUUCCAGAGAUGGAAGGUUCCCUUCGGGGACCAAGUGACAGGUGGUGC
Molecule: ribosomal RNA, 522 nt
Filed under: uncultured Salimicrobium sp.
Lineage: Bacteria; Bacillati; Bacillota; Bacilli; Caryophanales; Bacillaceae
Description: bacterial SSU rRNA
Rfam family: Bacterial small subunit ribosomal RNA
Source: RNAcentral